AUAUUAUUUCUAUUCCUAUUUAUUAAGCCCGAGAGAUUUUUAUGAGAUUAUUCAGCGAAUAAGCCGAAAUAGUUAUUUCUUAGUAACGACCACGAAGGAUGGAUUUAUUUAAUUAGCAGGUUAGAACACCUGAGGCGAACGAAUUAUUUUAGUUAAUUACUCAACCACGCAAGAUGAAACCUAGUUGGUAUUUAUUUGAUCCAAUAGUGAGGAUUAAUAGUAGUAAUUCCCUAAUAUCAUCUUAGAAUAAUAAGUUCAUGCAUAUGAGGUUCAUGCAUAGUUAAAUACACAUUCUCAUUUGAGGAUUUUUAUUCGAGCAAAUAUCUUAUAUAUGUAUAUAUAUUCUCGUAAUAAAGGUCAAGGGCGAGAUUGAUAAUCUGUUGAGGAGCUUUUGUAUCACAGAAAAUCACUAUCAGGUUGAGCAGCUGCCGAUGGUGAUGAAGUGACGAGCGGGACUCUUUGUCUUAUUAUGUAUUAAUGAACUCUAGGGUUACAUGUCUUCAUACAUGUAAUCAGAACUGUAUUCCGCUGCGUACUCAGAAGUUUUAUGCUAUUUUGGAUAAAUCGGAGUUAUCCGAACUUAUUAGUUAUUUGAGUCUAUACGACUAAAACUCCGUUAUAUUAAAAAUAUCCAUGUUGUUAAUAAUGAUGAAAUGCGAUCC
Salvia miltiorrhiza (redroot sage) is the source of this 662-nucleotide long non-coding RNA. RefSeq lists it as uncharacterized. NCBI's taxonomy places the organism in Eukaryota, Viridiplantae, Streptophyta, Magnoliopsida, Lamiales, Lamiaceae. The transcript is spliced from 2 exons. The record is from RefSeq and is a predicted model, not a curated record.